AACGAACGCUGGCGGCAUGCCUAACGCAUGCAAGUCGAACGAGACCUUCGGGUCUAGUGGCGCACGGGUGCGUAACGCGUGGGAACCUGCCCUUAGGUUCGGAAUAACUCCCCGAAAGGGGUGCUCAUACCGGUUAAUGUCUUCGGACCAAAGAUUUAUCGCCUUUGGAUGGGCCCGCGUUGGAUUAGCUAGUUGGUAGGGUAAAAGCCUACCAAGGCGACGUUCCAUAGCUGGUCUGAGAGGAUGAUCAGCCACACUGGGACUGAGACACGGCCCAGACUCGUACGGGAGGCAGCAGUGGGGAAUAUUGGACAAUGGGCGAAAGCCUGAUCCAGCAAUGCCGCGUGAGUGAUGAAGGCCUUAGGGUUGUAAAGCUCUUUUACCCGGGAUGAUAAUGACAGUACCGGGAGAAUAAGCGCCGGCUAACUCCGUG
This 433-nucleotide ribosomal RNA is filed under the name uncultured bacterium. RNAcentral describes it as "partial 16S ribosomal RNA". It matches the Rfam family "Bacterial small subunit ribosomal RNA", at positions 29 to 507 of the family's 1533-position model. The record is from RNAcentral.